Molecule: ribosomal RNA, 301 nt
Filed under: uncultured bacterium
Lineage: Bacteria
Description: partial 16S ribosomal RNA
Rfam family: Bacterial small subunit ribosomal RNA
Source: RNAcentral
CAGUCGCCGCGGGAAUACGAAGGGGGCUAGCGUUGCUCGGAAUUACUGGGCGCAAAGGGCGCGUAGGCGGACAGUUCAGUCGGGGGUGAAAGCCCGGGGCUCAACCUCGGAAUUGCCUUCGAUACUGGCUGUCUUGAGUAUGAGAGAGGUGUGUGGAACUCCGAGUGUAGAGGUGAAAUUCGUAGAUAUUCGGAAGAACACCAGUGGCGAAGGCGGCACACUGGCUCAUUACUGACGCUGAGGCGCGAAAGCGUGGGGAGCAAACAGGAUUAGAUACCCGUGUAGUCCCUGUCUCUUAUAC